RNAcentral lists this ribosomal RNA (399 nucleotides) under uncultured Glomeromycotina. RNAcentral describes it as "SSU rRNA". It matches the Rfam family "Eukaryotic small subunit ribosomal RNA", at positions 569 to 970 of the family's 1831-position model. The record is from RNAcentral. Lineage: Eukaryota; Fungi; Glomeromycota.
AGCAGCCGCGGUAAUUCCAGCUCCAAUAGCGUAUAUUAAAGUUGUUGCAGUUAAAAAGCUCGUAGUUGAAUUUCGGGAUCAGUAAGCCGGUCGUACCUUCGGUAUGUACUGGUGUCACUGAUUCCUCCCUUCUGAUGAACCGUUAUACCAUUUAGUUGGUGUGGCGGGGAAUCAGGACUGUUACUUUGAAAAAAUUAGAGUGUUUAAAGCAAGCUCGCGCUUGAAUACAUUAGCAUGGAAUAAUAAAAUAGGACGUUUGAUCUCCUAUUUUGUUGGUUUCUAGGAUCGACGUAAUGAUUAAUAGGGAUAGUUGGGGGCAUUAGUAUUCAAUUGUCAGAGGUGAAAUUCUUGGAUUUAUUGAAGACUAACUACUGCGAAAGCAUUUGCCAAGGAUGUUUU